Brachypodium distachyon (stiff brome) is the source of this 882-nucleotide long non-coding RNA. RefSeq lists it as uncharacterized. The record is from RefSeq and is a predicted model, not a curated record. NCBI's taxonomy places the organism in Eukaryota, Viridiplantae, Streptophyta, Magnoliopsida, Poales, Poaceae. The transcript is spliced from 3 exons.
CAAAAUCGAGGGAAGGAGAGAAAAAAAAUCUCUCCCCCGGUUGCGGUCGCUACAAACCCGAAAAGAUCAUUUUGCCGGCGAAUUCGCGGCUGGGCUUUGAUCUCACCUCGCGGGUGUGCUGCCCCUGAUGCAGUGUAUAAAAAGUAUUAACCACCGCCUUAUUGAAGGAUAAUAUACGCAGAGUAGAAAAGGUUGGCAAGGAUGCUUCAUUCCAUAUAAGAGGUCAAAUGCAAGUGAGAUCAAUAUAUAUGAUUGAAGAUUUUUCUCUGGCACCCUUAGGGAUCAACAGAGGGUGCAAAUCUAUACAUGAAAAGAGACAUGGCAAAAUGCAGAGUCCAGAGUGCAGACAGUAGUACCAAAAAAGAAAGCUUAUGUACUUCCUGUUGAAAAAAAGGCAUUUGCUGAAACAAAGCACACACACUUGGUCGCACGUGCGAAGAAAGAAAGAAAGAAGAGUUCAGGUUCAGAGGAAGAUGAAGGAGGCAGCAAAUUUGAAGCAGAGUUGAGCUCAGACUUCAGAGGGGAAUCAUCAGGAGAAGAAGAGAAAUGUAGAGCCGUACUACGUUGUUUACGUCCUCGGGAGACUCGAUCUCCAAUGCAAGAAAGGAAAAGGGAACAGAUGAACAAGAGGCCUGGAGAUCGAUGCGCGCGCUUUUAGGACAUGUUGGCGUGAGCUCGUCGCAACCCCAUGCAUGCAAUUUCCCCGUCUUUUGAGGUCAGUUCUUCUCAUGGACAAUUGUUUUGGGGGGACAAGAUGAAGCAGAAUUCAAACUGCUGCCUUUCUCCUUUCGGUGUGUGUGGCCAUGAACACAGACAGAUGCUUGUAAGUUUUAAAAAAAAGAGACUACAUAAAUGCUUGGGCGUUUUAAUUUGCUCUUUCGC